This 75-nucleotide transfer RNA is filed under the name Actinocatenispora thailandica. RNAcentral describes it as "tRNA-Val". It matches the Rfam family "tRNA". Rfam says of the family: Transfer RNA (tRNA) molecules are approximately 80 nucleotides in length. Their secondary structure includes four short double-helical elements and three loops (D, anti-codon, and T loops). Further hydrogen bonds mediate the characteristic L-shaped molecular structure. tRNAs have two regions of fundamental functional importance: the anti-codon, which is responsible for specific mRNA codon recognition, and the 3' end, to which the tRNAs corresponding amino acid is attached (by aminoacyl-tRNA synthetases). tRNAs cope with the degeneracy of the genetic code in two manners: having more than one tRNA (with a specific anti-codon) for a particular amino acid; and 'wobble' base-pairing, i.e. permitting non-standard base-pairing at the 3rd anti-codon position. Lineage: Bacteria; Bacillati; Actinomycetota; Actinomycetes; Micromonosporales; Micromonosporaceae. RNAcentral also lists the same sequence under 5 other names. The record is from RNAcentral.
GCGCGGUUAGCUCAGCGGGAGAGCGCUUCCCUGACACGGAAGAGGUCACAGGUUCAAUCCCUGUACCGCGCACCA